RNAcentral lists this transfer RNA (70 nucleotides) under Vescimonas coprocola. RNAcentral's name for it is "Oscillibacter sp. MM50 tRNA-Thr". The record is from RNAcentral. Lineage: Bacteria; Bacillati; Bacillota; Clostridia; Eubacteriales; Oscillospiraceae.
CGUCUGGUGGAUCAGAUGGAGGAACGGGGCAUUGUCGGCCCCUUCGAGGGUUCCAAGCCCCGUCAGCUGC